RNAcentral lists this ribosomal RNA (552 nucleotides) under Triticum aestivum (bread wheat). RNAcentral's name for it is "partial small subunit ribosomal RNA". Lineage: Eukaryota; Viridiplantae; Streptophyta; Magnoliopsida; Poales; Poaceae. The record is from RNAcentral.
AUGGAUCUUAAGAUGAUCAUCGUGUGCUCGGUCGUCGGCUCUCUCGGGGUGCUCAGUGCCAUCCUGGGGUUCUCUGCUGAGGGCACGAAGCUCACCAUUUUGGACGUGUACGUGGGUCUCGGGGUGUGCCUGAACCCGCAGAACCCCGCGUUCGGGCUCGGGGUGUGCGCGGCCAUCUUCCUGGCCAUAGCCCAGAUCAUCUUCGCCGCCCUCGGCGGCUGCUGCGGCUGCUGCAAGUCCCGCGCCAUCCCCUCCCAGAGCAAACGGGUCAUCGGCGUCAUCUGCGCCGUCUUCUCAUGGAUUGUGGCGGCGGUCGCCUUUGGGAUGCUGGUGGUAGAAGCGGCCGCGAACGCCCCCGGGGCGCGUGAAACGUCAGCGUCCGGCUAUUGCUACAUCCCCAUAGAAGGCAUCUUCGCCGGCGGCGCCGCGCUCACGCUCGUCGCCACGGCCCUCGGGAUCACCUCCUACGUCAUGCUCCGCACGCAGCCUGUCACUGUUGCCGAGACCGCCGCACCCAAGGAAGGCGAGCAGAUGCCGGCGAGCGCCGCCGGG